AGAGUUUGAUCAUGGCUCAGAUUGAACGCUGGCGGCGUGCCUAACACAUGCAAGUCGAGCGGUAACAGGUGUAGCAAUACAUGCUGACGAGCGGCGAACGGGUGAGUAAUGCUUCGGAAUCUACCCAAUGGUGGGGAAUAACCAGCCGAAAGGUUGGCUAAUACCGCAUAAGUCCUACGGGGGAAAGCAGGGGAUCGCAAGACCUUGCGCCGAUGGAUGAGCCGAAGCCGGAUUAGCUAGUUGGUAGGGUAACGGCCUACCAAGGCGACGAUCCGUAGCUGGUCUGAGAGGACGACCAGCCACACUGGGACUGAGACACGGCCCAGACUCCUACGGGAGGCAGCAGUGGGGAAUAUUGGACAAUGGGGGAAACCCUGAUCCAGCGACGCCGCGUGUGUGAAGAAGGCCUGCGGGUUGUAAAGCACUUUUAGUGGGGAUGAAAAGCUCAGGGCUAAUAUCUCUGGGUCUUGACCUAACCUACAGAAAAAGCACCGGCUAACUCUGUGCCAGCAGCCGCGGUAAUACAGAGGGUGCAAGCGUUAAUCGGAAUUACUGGGCGUAAAGCGUGCGUAGACGGUUAUGUAAGUCGGGUGUGAAAGCCCCGGGCUCAACCUGGGAAUGCCAUUCGAGACUGCAUAGCUAGGGUGCGGAAGAGGGAAGCGGAAUUUCCGGUGUAGCGGUGAAAUGCGUAGAUAUCGGAAGGAACACCAGUGGCGAAAGCGGCUUCCUGGUCCAGCACCGACGUUCAGGCACGAAAGCGUGGGGAGCAAACAGGAUUAGAUACCCUAGUAGUCC
This 795-nucleotide ribosomal RNA is filed under the name uncultured bacterium. RNAcentral describes it as "bacterial SSU rRNA". It matches the Rfam family "Bacterial small subunit ribosomal RNA", at positions 8 to 796 of the family's 1533-position model. The record is from RNAcentral.